CUCUGUCCAGUCUACAGGGCAAGAUGAAACGUCAGUGAUUGUUGUAAUUAACAGUUAUCUGUCCCAAUUAACAGGGAGGCACAGGAUAACACAAGACAAUGGAGGUCGGCCAGAUGUCGGACGCAACUGAGAGAAUACCAUGUCAACACUGACAUCUACGAAACAAUGUGAUCUGCACCAGCCAAGAUGAUCGUCCAAGCAGGAUAACACCGUUAACAGUGACAGAGCCUGGGUGUCAGUCUAUCCAUGAGCCUGUGGUAACGAAAUUGUGACGAGGACAUGUAAGAAUCUAAUGAUGGUAGUUGCCAUUGACUAGUAGCAUUUGAGGUCUAUAAUUCUAGUCAGUUCUCAAUGCUUCAAUUUUGCUACAAAUUGGAAUUUAAUAGCUGGCAGGAAAUGUAAACAAAGUAACCAGUUUUGAAAUAAGUUUCCACUAGUCCUCUCGACCAGUCUUCAGCAACCCAUGCUUGUCAUAAGAGACGACAAAGGGGAUCAGGUGGUCAGGCUCGCUGACUUGAUUGAUGCAUGUCAUCGUAUCCCAAACGCAAAGAUCAAUGCUCAUGAUGUCAAUCACAGGAUUAUCUGGUCCACACUUACUUAUUUUCAGAUCACCUUCAUGUAGAUUGAAUACGACUGAGUGGGGUGUUAAACAACAAACAAACAAUACCAACUAAUAUUUUUUACAAUAAUUUCUACAAUCACCAUGAUUACAAAUCCCACAAUGAAACUUUCAAAAUUGUAAGGCUCAGGACUAUUCAUUUAAUUGAAUUCCCUACUUAUCAUGUUCUAUUACGUUCUAUAUAAUUUUGUACAUCCUGGUCGUGGGAUAUCAGCUAUUUAUUUCCUUACAUAUGUCAAACUCAAAUCCUAGGGAUAGGAAAUAACAAGAUUCAUCUCAUUACACCCAAAUUAAGCUUGAAAUUCAAGGCAUCCUUGUUAUUACCCAUAUAUAAUAAAUGUUAAAGAUUUAGGUGUCCCAAGAUUCAAAUACCAUUGCACAUCUCAAGGACACUUAAUUUCGAACAGGGCAUUUCCAAACAGAGACAAUAUCAAGGGCAGAUCCAGCAAUUUAUACAUGUUAUAAAAGGUAGGGGUCCAAAAUAUCAAAAUCCUGUCUCAUGAUUUUACUGCCUACAACACAACAUACUACA
Haliotis rufescens (red abalone) is the source of this 1151-nucleotide long non-coding RNA. RefSeq lists it as uncharacterized. The record is from RefSeq and is a predicted model, not a curated record. The transcript has 4 exons. Lineage: Eukaryota; Metazoa; Mollusca; Gastropoda; Lepetellida; Haliotidae.